UACAGAGGUCUCAAGCGUUGUUCGGAUUCAUUGGGCGUAAAGGGUGUGCAGGUGGCGCCGUAAGUCGGGUGUGAAAUUUCGGAGCUUAACUCCGAAACUGCAUUCGAUACUGCGGUGCUUGAGGACUGGAGAGGAGACUGGAAUUCAUGGUGUAGCAGUGAAAUGCGUAGAGAUCAUGAGGAAGACCAGUGGCGAAGGCGGGUCUCUGGACAGUUCCUGACACUGAGACACGAAGGCCAGGGGAGCAAACGGG
Molecule: ribosomal RNA, 253 nt
Filed under: uncultured bacterium
Lineage: Bacteria
Description: partial 16S ribosomal RNA
Rfam family: Bacterial small subunit ribosomal RNA
Source: RNAcentral